This is a small nucleolar RNA of Pipistrellus kuhlii (Kuhl's pipistrelle), 139 nucleotides long. RefSeq annotates it as small nucleolar RNA SNORA23. The transcript has a single exon. NCBI's taxonomy places the organism in Eukaryota, Metazoa, Chordata, Mammalia, Chiroptera, Vespertilionidae. The record is from RefSeq and is a predicted model, not a curated record.
CAAUAACAAUAUACACAUUUUAAAAAUGCAACGUGGAGCCUCGUGCAGUAGAAAAGUACGUUAGGAACACAGUUCUGGCCUAGUGUUGUCGCAUUGAACAUAAUUUACCAUUGGCCAGCCUCCAAAUUCCCACUCAGAA